RNAcentral lists this ribosomal RNA (565 nucleotides) under Periconiella sp. 'loxsomatis'. RNAcentral's name for it is "eukaryotic LSU rRNA". It matches the Rfam family "Eukaryotic large subunit ribosomal RNA", at positions 77 to 664 of the family's 3401-position model. Lineage: Eukaryota; Fungi; Ascomycota; Dothideomycetes; Mycosphaerellales; Mycosphaerellaceae. The record is from RNAcentral.
GCCCAGUACGGCGAGUGAAGCGGCAACAGCUCAAAUUUGAAAUCUGGCCCUUGGGUCCGAGUUGUAAUUUGUAGAGGAUGCUUUUGGCGAGGUGCCUUCCGAGUUCCCUGGAACGGGACGCCAUAGAGGGUGAGAGCCCCGUCUGGUCGGACACCGAGCCUCUGUAAAGCUCCUUCGACGAGUCGAGUAGUUUGGGAAUGCUGCUCAAAAUGGGAGGUAUAUGUCUUCUAAAGCUAAAUAUUGGCCAGAGACCGAUAGCGCACAAGUAGAGUGAUCGAAAGAUGAAAAGCACUUUGAAAAGAGGGUUAAAAAGUACGUGAAAUUGUUGAAAGGGAAGCGCCUAUGACCAGACUUGGGCCCGGUGAAUCAUCCAGCGUUCUCGCUGGUGCACUUUGCCGGGCACAGGCCAGCAUCAGUUUGGCGCGGGGGAAAAAGGUUUUGGGAAUGUGGCUCCCUCGGGAGUGUUAUAGCCCAUUGCGUAAUACCCUGCGCCGGACUGAGGUACGCGCAUUGCAAGGAUGCUGGCGUAAUGGUCAUCAGCGACCCGUCUUGAAACAACGGACAC